ACUCCUACGGGAGGCAGCAGUGGGGAAUUUUGGACAAUGGGCGAAAGCCUGAUCCAGCAAUGCCGCGUGAGUGAAGAAGGCCUUCGGGUUGUAAAGCUCUUUUGUCAGGGAAGAAACGGUGAAAGCUAAUAUCUUUUGCUAAUGACGGUACCUGAAGAAUAAGCACCGGCUAACUACGUGCCAGCAGCCGCGGUAAUACGUAGGGUGCAAGCGUUAAUCGGAAUUACUGGGCGUAAAGCGUGCGCAGGCGGUUUUGUAAGUCUGAUGUGAAAUCCCCGGGCUCAACCUGGGAAUUGCAUUGGAGACUGCAAGGCUAGAAUCUGGCAGAGGGGGGUAGAAUUCCACGUGUAGCAGUGAAAUGCGUAGAUAUGUGGAGGAACACCGAUGGCGAAGGCAGCCCCCUGGGUCAAGAUUGACGCUCAUGCACGAAAGCGUGGGGAGCAAACAGGAUUAGAAACCCCUGUAGUCC
RNAcentral lists this ribosomal RNA (469 nucleotides) under uncultured organism. RNAcentral's name for it is "partial 16S ribosomal RNA". It matches the Rfam family "Bacterial small subunit ribosomal RNA", at positions 335 to 796 of the family's 1533-position model. The record is from RNAcentral.